Molecule: ribosomal RNA, 1198 nt
Filed under: uncultured bacterium
Lineage: Bacteria
Description: bacterial SSU rRNA
Rfam family: Bacterial small subunit ribosomal RNA
Source: RNAcentral
GAUAAACGCUGGCGGCGUGCCUAACACAUGCAAGUCUAACGGCCUUCGGGCAGUGGCAAACGGGUGAGUAACGCGUUGGAAUCUACCUUUAUCUCAGGUAUAACAUCUUGAAAGAGGUGCUAAUCCCUGAUAGUCUCUUCGGAGUAAAGCUUUUGCGGAUAAAGAGGAUCCUGCGUCCUAUCAGCUUGUUGGUAAGGUAAUGGCUUACCAAGGCAAUGACGGGUAGCUGGUCUGAGAGGAUGAUCAGCCACAGUGGAACUGAGACACGGUCCACACUCCUACGGGAGGCAGCAGUGAGGAAUUUUGCACAAUGGACGAAAGUCUGAUGCAGCAACGCCGCGUGAAGGAUGAAGAUCUUAGGAUUGUAAACUUCUUUUAUAAGGGAUGAAGUAUGACAGUACCUUAUGAAUAAGCUCCGGCUAAAUACGUGCCAGCAGCCGCGGUAAUACGUAUGGAGCAAGCGUUAUCCGGAUUUAUUGGGCGUAAAGAGUUCGUAGGUGGUAUGUUAAGUUGGAGAUGAAAUAUCUGGGCUCAACCCAGGGAACGUUUCCAAAACUAACAAGCUAGAGGAAGGGAGAGGCAAGCGGAACUUGUGGUGUAGGGGUAAAAUCCGUAGAUAUCACAGGGAACGCCAAAUGCGAAGGCAGCUUGCUGGUUCUCUCCUGACACUGAGGAACGAAAGCGUGGGUAGCGAACGGGAUUAGAUACCCCGGUAGUCCACGCCGUAAACGAUGGGUACUAGAUAUUAGUUGUAUCGACCCAACUAGUGUCGUAGCUAACGCGUUAAGUACCCCGCCUGGGGAGUACGGUCGCAAGACUAAAACUCAAAGGAAUUGACGGGGGAUCGCACAAGCGGUGGAGCAUGUGGUUUAAUUCGACGAUACGCGAGGAACCUUACCAAGGCUUGACAUCCUCGGAAUCUGUGGGAAACCAUGGAGUGCCUUCGGGAAUCGAGAGACAGGUGCUGCAUGGCUGUCGUCAGCUCGUGCUGUGAAGUGUCGGGUUAAGUCCCUUAACGAGCGCAACCCCUAUUGUAUGUUGUAUUUUCGUACAAGACUGCCCUGUGAUAGGGAGGAAGGUGGGGAUGACGUCUAGUCAGCAUGGCCCUUAUGCCUUGGGCUACACACAUGCUACAAUGGUCAGUACAACAGGUAGCCAAGCAGCAAUGCGGAGCUAAUCCUCUAAACUGGCCUCAGUU